CAUACUCCAUAGCACAUUUAAUAUAUCCAUUCAUUGAUUAAUCGCCGGAUUUGUAUCAUCGUCGUCUGGAUUUGAUUCUCGGAGAAGAAGAUCGAGAUUCCCAACGCCGGCAGGAGGACCGAUGCUACAUCGUGCAGUGAGGUGUGUCGCAAUGGCUUCUUUUAUUUUUUUGAACUGAAAAUUCAAUCACACAUAUUGAUUUCUCGAUUUCUUUUUGACAUUAACAUUGAAAUUUGAAAGUAAACCUAAUUACCUUUGGGAGUGAGCAUGAAAAGGCAUCUAAGAGACCAUCAGCACCACGGUAGAAAUGGAAAUAAGGAAGAACCUUGACAUUCAAUCGUCUGCACAUUGGUUUGUUCGCAUCGAAAUCGACUUUCACAAACAAGAGAUCGGAAUGUUGCUGCCCAACCGUUUUGCAAAGCUAACAGAUUCAACUAAAACAAGCUGAGCAUCUAACUUACUUUGAUUACAAAUCACAAAUCACUCGUUCGCUCACCCUUGGAAAGAUUGCACGGCAAGAGGCACACCAAGUUCCAUAAAAUUCAACCAAGACGAGCUUAUCUCCUGCCUCACACAGCGCGUUCAAGAAUUCCUCCGUCGACCUCACAUCGAUCGUGUUUGCAGGAGCGUUUCGUUCCCACCACUUGGGUCGGUCGCUUCUAUCAACUGCCUGAAUUAUAUAAUAAAACCAAAAUAACCCAAAUUCAUAAAAAUAACCCGAAAUCCGAAGAUGAUCCAAUUAAAUUUCUUUCCAAUUUCCAGUUUAAAACCCCCAUCACAUUCACAGACCUUUAUCGACCUAAAUCUCCGAGGAAGACGGUGAGAAACCGAACCAGAAGGACCGCUAAACACAGACUGCAAGGAGGAGAACGAGAACGGCGAUGGAGAGGAUGGAAACAGUAGUUGCUGGGGAGAAUGCUUGAGGAGAGAAGAGAACCCAACUACAAGCAAUCGAUUGGUCAUUGUGGGAAUUGGAAACAAGAGAUGGAU
This 990-nucleotide long non-coding RNA is filed under the name Zostera marina. Its description in RNAcentral is "long non-coding RNA (ZMAR_LNC006051)". The record is from RNAcentral. Lineage: Eukaryota; Viridiplantae; Streptophyta; Magnoliopsida; Alismatales; Zosteraceae.